RNAcentral lists this unclassified non-coding RNA (263 nucleotides) under plant metagenome. RNAcentral describes it as "partial contains small subunit ribosomal RNA, internal transcribed spacer 1, and 5.8S ribosomal RNA". The record is from RNAcentral.
UUUCCGUAGGUGAACCUGCGGAAGGAUCAUUAUUGUAUAACCGAGGUGCGAGGGCUGUCGCUGACCCGAAAGGUCGUGCACGCCCGAGUGCUCUCACACACAUCCAUCUCACCCCUAUGUGCACCACCGCGUGGGUCCCCCUUUGGCUUGUUCGGAGGGGGGCGUACGUCUUCACACAAACUUUGUAUGCAGUGUAGAAUGUAUUUUUUGUUUUUGCGAUCACGCAAUCAAUACAACUUUCAACAACGGAUCUCUUGGCUCUC